Molecule: ribosomal RNA, 253 nt
Filed under: uncultured bacterium
Lineage: Bacteria
Description: partial 16S ribosomal RNA
Rfam family: Bacterial small subunit ribosomal RNA
Source: RNAcentral
UACGUAGGGUGCGAGCGUUGUCCGGAAGUAUUGGGCGUAAAGAGCUUGUAGGCGGUUUGUCGCGUCUGCCGGGAAAAUCCGAGGCUCAACCUCGGACUUGCGGUGGGUACGGGCAGACUAGAGUGUGGUAGGGGAGACUGGAAUUCCUGGUGUAGCGGUGAAAUGCGCAGAUAUCAGGAGGAACACCGAUGGCGAAGGCAGGUCUCUGGGCCACUACUGACGCUGAGAAGCGAAAGCGUGGGGAGCGAACAGG